AUUGAACGCUGGCGGCAUGCUUUACACAUGCAAGUCGAACGGCAGCGCGGGCUUCGGCCUGGCGGCGAGUGGCGAACGGGUGAGUAAUGCAUCGGAACGUGCCCAGUAGUGGGGGAUAGCGCGGCGAAAGCCGGAUUAAUACCGCAUACGACCUGAGGGUGAAAGCGGGGGACCGAAAGGCCUCGCGCUAUUGGAGCGGCCGAUGUCGGAUUAGCUAGUUGGUGGGGUAAAGGCUUACCAAGGCGACGAUCCGUAGCUGGUCUGAGAGGACGACCAGCCACACUGGGACUGAGACACGGCCCAGACCCCUACGGGAGGCAGCAGUGGGGAAUUUUGGACAAUGGGGGCAACCCUGAUCCAGCCAUGCCGCGGGCGGGAAGAAGGCCUUCGGGUUGUAAACCGCUUUUGUUCGGGAAGAAAUCCUCUGGGCUAAUACCCCGGGGGAUGACGGUACCGGAAGAAUAAGCACCGGCUAACUACGUG
This 483-nucleotide ribosomal RNA is filed under the name uncultured bacterium. RNAcentral's name for it is "partial 16S ribosomal RNA". It matches the Rfam family "Bacterial small subunit ribosomal RNA", at positions 28 to 507 of the family's 1533-position model. The record is from RNAcentral.